UAACGCGUGGGUAACCUGCCUCAUACAGGGGGAUAACAGUUAGAAAUGACUGCUGAUACCGCAUAAGCGCACAGUGCUGCAUGGCACAGUGUGAAAAACUCCGGUGGUAUGAGAUGGACCCGCGUCUGAUUAGCUAGUUGGUGGGGUAACGGCCUACCAAGGCGACGAUCAGUAGCCGGCCUGAGAGGGUGAACGGCCACAUUGGGACUGAGACACGGCCCAA
RNAcentral lists this ribosomal RNA (223 nucleotides) under uncultured bacterium. Its description in RNAcentral is "partial 16S ribosomal RNA". It matches the Rfam family "Bacterial small subunit ribosomal RNA", at positions 111 to 334 of the family's 1533-position model. The record is from RNAcentral.